GUCGAAAGCGUUCCUGAGUAGUGAGUAAGCUUAGGAACCUUUAAAGAAAUUUGGCCCGUAGUUGUAUGUCAUUCAUGUAAUGCAUGUGGGCAAGCCAAAAUGAAAGAAAUUGUUUCCUGAUAAGGUUUCCUCUCCAAAUGUCUAGAAAAAAUGGGUGAAAAAGGACAAAGGAUAACGAAAUAAAUGAGGUUGGUUUUACUUUAAGCAUCUCAUUGCCACUUUGG
Molecule: unclassified non-coding RNA, 224 nt
Filed under: Hevea brasiliensis (rubber tree)
Lineage: Eukaryota; Viridiplantae; Streptophyta; Magnoliopsida; Malpighiales; Euphorbiaceae
Source: RNAcentral